CCUAAGAGAUACGUGUUAUGUGCAGUGCUCACACAGAUUGUCUGAUGAAGAACGAGCAAAAGCGCGUCUGCGAAGCUGACAAAAGUCCCCUUCGUCUAGAGGCCUAGGACACCGCCCUUUCACGGCGGUAACAGGGGUUCGAAUCCCCUAGGGGACGCCAAUGCGCGGUAUGAGUGAAAGGCGUACCACUUAUCUGACGAGAGUCAGAGAAUAACUAAGCUAAUUCAAAUGAGUUAUCUUACUUAUUAUGCUCUUUAACAAUCUGGAACAAGCUGAAAAAUUGAAAACAAAUCAAUAUAUCACCGAGGUAUAUUGGUGAGUCUCUCAAAAUCUCAAACCUUAAAGUUUGUCACGCAAAGUUUAUCUUUGAAAAAGACACUUUCGGGUUGUGA
This 392-nucleotide unclassified non-coding RNA is filed under the name Proteus mirabilis. Its description in RNAcentral is "partial 16S-23S ribosomal RNA intergenic spacer". The stretch from base 85 to 157 matches the Rfam family "tRNA". Lineage: Bacteria; Pseudomonadati; Pseudomonadota; Gammaproteobacteria; Enterobacterales; Morganellaceae. The record is from RNAcentral.